GGCUGCAGGCGGGGCCGAGCGCUCGCUGCGCGAACCGGCAGCCCCGCAGGCUGCCGGCAGCCCCCGGCCCAGGCGGCCGGACCCGGUGCGCGCUGCCUGGCGGCUCCGGCGGGGGCAUGUGGAUGUUGGCCGUCGCCUUGCUCCACAGCAUCUCGCACGGAGAUGUAGAGGCAAACAUCACUGCUCUAUGCCUUCUGCCAAACAACUGAGUCCUCCCCACCAUAUGACUGCGUCCUGUGUGCUGUUCCUGUAUCCCAGGAUGCUAGGGGCCAAGAUCUCUGGCAGAAAGUGAGAACAUGAACAAGAGAGGUCUGCUCUAUAUUUUUGAGCUUCUAUGGAUUACUUCAUGACUUGAAAGAUAUGACAAAGUCCGCAUCUUCUGCUUAUCUGGAAACAUUUUGCAUUAGUGAAACUUAUGUUCAGUAUUCA
Cygnus olor (mute swan) is the source of this 429-nucleotide long non-coding RNA. RefSeq lists it as uncharacterized. The record is from RefSeq and is a predicted model, not a curated record. The transcript has 3 exons. Lineage: Eukaryota; Metazoa; Chordata; Aves; Anseriformes; Anatidae.